Long non-coding RNA from Vigna unguiculata (cowpea), 593 nucleotides. RefSeq lists it as uncharacterized. The record is from RefSeq and is a predicted model, not a curated record. Lineage: Eukaryota; Viridiplantae; Streptophyta; Magnoliopsida; Fabales; Fabaceae.
UGCCUUAACAUCUCCAUUUUGUUGCCCUGCCUGCUUCAGAUUUGAGACAGACAUCGCCUGCGAACAUAUUUUGAUUUUUAACAAUGUUCAGGCGAAGCAGGUUUCUUUCCUUCCCUAUGGUAAUCGGUGCAGUCAUUAUUGGUGUUGUUUCUGGGAAGGCAAUAUUUGGACCCCCACUUGAUGAGUAUUGGAAAAAGAAGCAUCAAGAAGAGACAUCUGCAGCUGCUACUAAGGAGAAUGACUCAACCCCAACUUAGUUCACCACUUAGUUCACCUUCUCAAGUAGCAACAUCAUCAUAUUUUUUUCUUUCUUUGGACUAAAGAUAAGGAUUGAAAUGCAGUCACUGCAUUAAUUUUGCUAGGGAUUGAUGUUUUGAAGUAGUCUGAACUCUUUAUUCUUUACUCUUUCCAAUGUGAGGAGUGAGUUUUGGUUCUCUUUCCCUGUCUUUUACUAUCAAGCUAGAUUUGUAGAAAUUCACUGUAUAAUUCUUUUUUCCAGCUACCGUUGAGUUACAAGCAUUUAUAUUAUUGUAGUUGCCAUGAAUGUAAAAUUGUUAUACUCAAAUAAAACAAGUUGUCCCUUGACCUGCAUA